CUGGAUUUUCUGCUGAAACUGGUAAUGGGAGAAACAGGAUUGAAUAAGGAAAUCUACACUAGAUGCUGGGAUUUACAUCCCCAGCCCGUCACUCAAACUGCCUCCUUCCACAAGGACUGAGAUGCCAAACUUCCCAGGCUCACUACUCUCAGGAUGAUAGAACUAAUACCCCCAACUGCUUGGCCUGCCCUCACAAACAGCACUUGCCAUUGUCAUCUAGAAAGCCACAUUCCUCACCAGAGCCUUCACUUGCUGCCUGGCUGGUCCUUGACAUGCUCCUCCAAUCUGGAUGUUUCUCUUGCCAUAGCGGAAACCUGAAUCUUGUUAAAUGGAGAUGGGCAAUACAGGCAAUGGAUCCUUCAGGUCUCCUUCUUCCAAGCAAAUGUAGCCCUGGGAACACUUUCAUUGAAAAGAAAGAAGAGACAAAGUGACUGGUGACUGGUGAUACAAAAUCAGAAUAGGGAUAUUGGUAUUUUAUCUUCCAAUAUGUCUUCUGGACUUCUUGGUGAUACUACUAAUCAGGCGGGAGUGCUGUUGUCCCAUAUACUGCAUUUGUAUGACUCAGAAAAAGAAGCCCAUUCCUCCAGGAAGAAUCAGCCUUGGGCAUCUUGCUUGAGGAGGAGAGCAUGGGCUCAAUUUCUAUUGCAGUGACUAGCUUCUCCAACCCAAACCAGCUACUCUUCUCCAAUGAACAACCUGAACAUCCACACAUGGUGGACCUGUGAAUAGACCUUUGUUUUACAAGUUGCUGUGACUGAAAUGGCUGUGAAAUGAGGACUAAACUGACCGCAAGCAUUGUGCACAAUGAGGUAUACUUAAGGGGAUGUGUGUGUGUGUGUGUCCUGGUAAAUAACUGAAUUGCCAAAGAUGUCUACAGAAGUCCAAGGUGGGUAACAAGAAUGAGAACCAACAAAGGCAGCAUCUCCUAAAAUGUGUUUAGCAGGACCAACUUACCAGGAGAUAAUGAAAAAGCAAGAGGUGGACCUCAAGUCAUUAGGAGAGAAGAAAAUUAAAACCAGACGAUUGGCCCACUGGUGAUAAGUUGCCUGGAAUAAUCAGAGAAUUUGAAGGCUGGCUUGGUUAUCCCUGGAAUCUGGCCCAAUUCUGGUUUAUAGCAAAUGUUGUUAACUAGGGGGUCCAUCAGUGACCUUCAGGGGACCUGUGAACCUCCUGAAAUUACAGUAUUAUUUUGCAUGUAUGUGUGCAUACACACUUUUGCUGUGGAGGGUCUUAGCAGUCAUCAGAUUAUCGGAUUAAGAACUGGUCUCGGCCAGGCACGGUGGCUCACGCCUGUAAUCUCAACACUUUGGGAGGCCGAGGCAGGCGGAUCACCUGAGAUCAGGAGUUCGAAACCAGCCUGGCCAACAUGGCGAAACCCCAUCUCUACUAAAAAUACAAAAAUUAGCCGGGUGCGGUGGUGGGUGCCUGUAGUCCCAGCUACUAGGGAGGCUGAGGUGGGAGAAUAAUUUGAACCCAGAAGGUGGAGGUUGCAGUGAGCCAAGAUCCUGCCAUUGCACUACUGUCACCUGGGCGACAGAGCGAGACUCCGUCUCAAAAAAAAGAACCGGUCUCAAGAUACACAGGUGACCCAGCUGGGUGGGUCAGAGUGCAUUUUGUUGAACAUGGA
RNAcentral lists this long non-coding RNA (1627 nucleotides) under Homo sapiens (human). Its description in RNAcentral is "PREDICTED lncRNA (TCONS_00154289)". The record is from RNAcentral. Lineage: Eukaryota; Metazoa; Chordata; Mammalia; Primates; Hominidae.